RNAcentral lists this ribosomal RNA (468 nucleotides) under uncultured bacterium. Its description in RNAcentral is "partial 16S ribosomal RNA". It matches the Rfam family "Bacterial small subunit ribosomal RNA", at positions 28 to 507 of the family's 1533-position model. The record is from RNAcentral.
GACGGACGCUGGCGGCGUGCUUAACACAUGCAAGUCGAACGGAAAGGCCCUGCUUUUGUGGGGUGCUCGAGUGGCGAACGGGUGAGUAACACGUGAGUAACCUGCCCUUGACUUUGGGAUAACUUCAGGAAAUUGGGGCUAAUACCGGAUAGGAGCUCCUGCUGCAUGGUGGGGGUUGGAAAGUUUCGGCGGUUGGGGAUGGACUCGCGGCUUAUCAGCUUGUUGGUGGGGUAGUGGCUUACCAAGGCUUUGACGGGUAGCCGGCCUGAGAGGGUGACCGGCCACAUUGGGACUGAGAUACGGCCCAGACUCCUACGGGAGGCAGCAGUGGGGAAUAUUGCACAAUGGGCGGAAGCCUGAUGCAGCAACGCCGCGUGCGGGAUGACGGCCUUCGGGUUGUAAACCGCUUUCGCCUGUGACGAAGCGUGAGUGACGGUAAUGGGUAAAGAAGCACCGGCUAACUACGUG